AUGAACGCUGGCGGCGUGCCUAAUACCUGCCAGUCGAGCGAACAGAUAAGGAGCUUGCUCCUUUGACGUUAGCGGCGGACGGGUGAGUAACACGUGGGUAACCUACCUAUAAGACUGGAAUAACUCCGGGAAACCGGGGCUAAUGCCGGAUAACAUUUAGAACCGCAUGGUUCUAAAGUGAAAGAUGGUUUUGCUAUCACUUAUAGAUGGACCCGCGCCGUAUUAGCUAGUUGGUAAGGUAACGGCUUACCAAGGCAACGAUACGUAGCCGACCUGAGAGGGUGAUCGGCCACACUGGAACUGAGACACGGUCCAGACUCCUACGGGAGGCAGCAGUAGGGAAUCUUCCGCAAUGGGCGAAAGCCUGACGGAGCAACGCCGCGUGAGUGAUGAAGGUCUUCGGAUCGUAAAACUCUGUUAUUAGGGAAGAACAAAUGUGUAAGUAACUGUGCACGUCUUGACGGUACCUAAUCAGAAAGCCACGGCUAACUACGUG
This 496-nucleotide ribosomal RNA is filed under the name uncultured bacterium. RNAcentral's name for it is "partial 16S ribosomal RNA". It matches the Rfam family "Bacterial small subunit ribosomal RNA", at positions 29 to 507 of the family's 1533-position model. The record is from RNAcentral.